This 482-nucleotide ribosomal RNA is filed under the name uncultured bacterium. RNAcentral's name for it is "bacterial SSU rRNA". It matches the Rfam family "Bacterial small subunit ribosomal RNA", at positions 25 to 507 of the family's 1533-position model. The record is from RNAcentral.
CAGGACGAACGCUGGCGGCGUGCUUAACACAUGCAAGUCGAACGGAGCCUAUCGAAUGAAGAUUUCGGUCAGAAUUUGAGAAAGCUUAGUGGCGGACGGGUGAGUAACGCGUGAGGAACCUGCCUUUCAGAGGGGGACAACAGUUGGAAACGACUGCUAAUACCGCAUAAGCGCACAGGACCGCAUGGUCUGGUGUGAAAAACUCCGGUGGUAUACGAUGGACCCGCGUCUGAUUAGCUAGUUGGUGAGGUAACGGCCCACCAAGGCGACGAUCAGUAGCCGGCCUGAGAGGGUGAACGGCCACAUUGGGACUGAGACACGGCCCAAACUCCUACGGGAGGCAGCAGUGGGGAAUAUUGGACAAUGGGGGAAACCCUGAUCCAGCGACGCCGCGUGAGUGAAGAAGUAUUUCGGUAUGUAAAGCUCUAUCAGCAGGGAAGAAAAUGACGGUACCUGACUAAGAAGCUCCGGCUAAAUACGUG